Molecule: transfer RNA, 76 nt
Filed under: Methylibium petroleiphilum PM1
Lineage: Bacteria; Pseudomonadati; Pseudomonadota; Betaproteobacteria; Burkholderiales; Sphaerotilaceae
Description: tRNA-Phe
Source: RNAcentral
GCCGGCCUGAUGCUGCUCGCCUGGCCGCUGGUCGUCGAGCUGCUGCUGCUGGGCGCGGGCGCCGGCUUCCUGGCCG